GACACUUAACCCACUGAGCCACCCAAGUGCCCCUAAAUAAUGAGAUCUUAAUGCACACAAAGGGAGGCCAUGACCGCGAGGAUGGGAAGGACUAGCCUUCAUUAUUCAUGCCCACACAGCCUCUCCAACUCCCUCGUGCAUGCAGGAACACAUCUCCUUCAAUGCAAGUGUUAUCUGUCACUAACGGUUCUUAUUUAAAGAUAAUGGAGUCCCACGACAUUGCUCUGUUUGGCUGGAGGAGGCAGAAAGCGGGCCCUCGUUAUUCUUCAGGAGUGACUGAAUGCUGUGGGCAGCGUGGGUCCCCAGAGACGCUAAGGAAGCUGACAGCCCGGUGGCUUGGUGGCUCGCUCUGCCCCGGUCCCAUCUGGCAUCCUUACAAGUGUGUAUUUCAACAAACCAAAACAAAAUGUUUAACCGUACAUAUUUUUUUGUAUGUAUUGAAAAGCAGUGUAAGUAUUGAAACAAUAAAAACAUGUUUAUCUCAGGGUCAUGUUGACAAGUUUGUAAGUUCUCAGUUUGGGGUUUUUGCUAGAAGCCGGGCUUGGCUUUGAGGUGGGACUAGUUCUGUUUCUUUCCGGUUUUAUUUCCGGUUCUGUUUAUUUUUCAGAUAACUCAAUUAUUCCAAGUGGUAAAAAGUCCAGUCGGCCGUCGCAGGGGAGAACAACUCAGAGUCGCCUCCCAAGUUCGCGCUCAGGCGCAGCCGUGGGCUUUCGUGCAAUAGUCCAUGGUGCAGUGUCUGGGGGAUGCUCGGAGCUGCCACACCCCUGGGUGUGCCUUUGCUUUGGUGACCUCCCAGGUUUCUAACAGUGCUCUUGGCCCCCUGCCAUAAUGACUGCCGUCUCAGUGCUGAAUUCUAAAGACCAUUUCUCUCCUCCAUUCCCAUGGAGCACGUCUGAUCCAUGCCUCAUACAGGCCCCACGGUUUUCCCUGAUGUUUGGGGGUGUUAGAGCGCUGGCUAUGUCACAGAAAAGGCCAGAACAACCUAAAAUCCAAUAUCGGAAAUUUCUGCCCCCAAAUUCAUGGUACUUUCUCCGAAUAAUAUCUCCCAGACCCCAGCCCAGACAGGUUUUUUUCUCUACACCACUCAACGCAACCGUGGCAAGUCUGCAAUGAUUUGCAUGCUGCUAAUUGGUCUACUGGACCCUGUUUUCAGUUCUGUGUUGCUGGAUCUGCCAGCAGCACUGACAUGGUGGACCACCUGCUCCUUCUUGAAACACACUUGCACUUGGCCUCCAGAUCUCAGAACCUGGGCCUCUUCUCUUGUCAUCUGCGCCCACUCCCUUGGUGACGGCAUAAGGGAUGAGCCUCUAGCCAGGACUCUGUCUGACCUCCGUGUGAAAAGAGACGUCUGUGUACUGGACAUCGCCACUGGGCUAGUCUACUUGUUAUCCAGCUUCCCAAGUCCCUAACCAACCUCCUGGUCUUCUCCCUCAUCCUCACCCUGCCUUUGCCUCGGUGUUUCCUGCCGCACCCAUGAGCUCCCUGUCUCCAUCAUUGCAGGAGAACACCUUGGAGUCACCUUUUGUGUUGUCUUUUCUCUUAAACCACUAUAUCCGGCAAAUCCAGCAAAACCACUCUAUCUGUCAGCAGAUCCUGCUGGCAUUUUCUUCGAAACGCGCCCAAUUUCUGUUACAGGAGCCGGUGUCCUCACUGCACCUCAGUCUCCCUAAUCCAUUUUUAACGUUUUCCCCGGAGUAAUCUCCUUACAUUGUAGAUCAGGUGACACCACUCAGAACCUUCCACUAGCCUUCCACCUCACGCUGGCAGGAAGGUAAAGUCACCACCAUGGGCUCCAAGGCUCCAUGACAGGGAACCUAUCACCUCCUUGCCUAUUUGGCUUCAACGCCCAGUGCCCUCUCCUGGCUCAAGGCAGCCGCCCAGCAUCACACCUCCUCGAAGUUCCUUCAUCCCGACUCGCUCCUCCCCAGCUCCCAUGACUGGAAUAUGAGCCCCACGAGGUCAAGGAUUUUGUGCACUUUAUUCACCACUGCAACCCUUUGGCCUGGAAAAGUGCCCAUAGUGGAUGCUCAGUGUUUGUUGAAGGAGCGAAAGCAUUGAGGUAUGGUGUGAGGAGGACUUAGAAGACCCAAGUCUUGACUUUCGGAAUCCACGAUUUCUGAUGUAUGUACUUUGGGGCGAAUCACUAACAUUCCUAUGUGCUCGUCUCCUUCCAUCUGUAAAAUGUUUCUAUUUGUAAAAUACUUCACCCAACUUAUUUGUCAGGAUUAAACAAAGUGAUAAAUGUGAAAAAUACCUUCUAAUUUCUACUACACAGAGGCUAAUUAACUUGCACAACACCAUUUACGAGCACGUGAGAAGGAAAGGAAAUGGACAGACCAGAUGUAUAGUCUCCCUUUUGCCCAAUGGAGUCUUGUGUUUUGUAUCAAGGGCCACUUUGGGACCUUUCUCGAGGUAUUUAUGGCUUGAAUAAUGUUUAUUUUAGAUAGGUGGAGAACGUAUUUCAGGUCAUCCCUCAAACCAGAGGGCUUUUUCCAAACUGAAUUUUGACAGUUGCUCUGGGGCUGUGAAGACUCAGUUUCUGCUCUUCCUAAAUAGGUCAAGUCACGGUGUGAUAGCCACAUGCUGUAGAAAAAGGUUAGUGAGACAAUGGGUGGGAUUUCUCCUUUGAAAUUGGGUUAUGCCUGCUCUCGGAGAUGGUCACAGGCCUGCAGAAUUUGUGACACGCUGGUUCUCUAGUCAUUAUAUUUUUACCAUAAAAGCAUUAGUCACAUUUUUUUCUGGCUUUUUAUUCUCUUAAGAACAGAAACGUGGGUAGUCGAUGAUAAAGUUCAUUCGGUAUUGUGUGGAGCUUUUCAGAGAACUUUAUAAUCAUUCUAAUUAAUUUGGAAUUUCCAAGAAUAAAAAAAAUAGUCCCCAG
Lutra lutra (Eurasian river otter) is the source of this 2878-nucleotide long non-coding RNA. RefSeq lists it as uncharacterized. The transcript has 3 exons. Lineage: Eukaryota; Metazoa; Chordata; Mammalia; Carnivora; Mustelidae. The record is from RefSeq and is a predicted model, not a curated record.